AUGAACGCUGGCGGCGUGCCUCAUACAUGCAAGUCGAGCGAACGGACGAGAAGCUUGCUUUUCUGAUGUUAGCGGCGGACGGGUGAGUAACACGUGGAUAACCUACCUAUAAGACUGGGAUAACUUCGGGAAACCGGAGCUAAUACCGGAUAAUAUUUUGAACCGCAUGGUUCAAAAGUGAAAGACGGUCUUGCUGUCACUUAUAGAUGGAUCCGCGCUGCAUUAGCUAGUUGGUAAGGUAACGGCUUACCAAGGCAACGAUGCAUAGCCGACCUGAGAGGGUGAUCGGCCACACUGGAACUGAGACACGGUCCAGACUCCUACGGGAGUCAGCAGUAGGGAAUCUUCCGCAAUGGGCGAAAGCCUGACGGAGCAACGCCGCGUGAGUGAUGAAGGUCUUCGGAUCGUAAAACUCUGUUAUUAGGGAAGAACAUAUGUGUAAGUAACUGUGCACAUCUUGACGGUACCUAAUCAGAAAGCCACGGCUAACUACGUG
This 496-nucleotide ribosomal RNA is filed under the name uncultured bacterium. RNAcentral describes it as "partial 16S ribosomal RNA". It matches the Rfam family "Bacterial small subunit ribosomal RNA", at positions 29 to 507 of the family's 1533-position model. The record is from RNAcentral.